GUCCCACGCCCUAAACGAUGUCAACUGGUUGUUGGGAAUUCACUUUCUCAGUAACGAAGCUAACGCGUGAAGUUGACCGCCUGGGGAGUACGGCCGCAAGGUUAAAACUCAAAGGAAUUGACGGGGACCCGCACAAGCGGUGGAUGAUGUGGUUUAAUUCGAUGCAACGCGAAAACCUUACCCACCUUUGACAUGUAUGGAAGGCCGCAGAGACGCGGUUGUGCCCCGAAAGGGAGCCAUAACACAGGUGCUGCAUGGCUGUCGU
RNAcentral lists this ribosomal RNA (265 nucleotides) under uncultured bacterium. Its description in RNAcentral is "partial 16S ribosomal RNA". It matches the Rfam family "Bacterial small subunit ribosomal RNA", at positions 792 to 1055 of the family's 1533-position model. The record is from RNAcentral.